GCCUCGGUAGCGUAGUGGUCAAGACGCUCGCCUGGUAAACAGGAGGGCGUGGGUUCGAGCCCAGCCGAGGCA
Molecule: transfer RNA, 72 nt
Filed under: Diaphorina citri (Asian citrus psyllid)
Lineage: Eukaryota; Metazoa; Arthropoda; Insecta; Hemiptera; Psyllidae
Rfam family: tRNA
About the family: Transfer RNA (tRNA) molecules are approximately 80 nucleotides in length. Their secondary structure includes four short double-helical elements and three loops (D, anti-codon, and T loops). Further hydrogen bonds mediate the characteristic L-shaped molecular structure. tRNAs have two regions of fundamental functional importance: the anti-codon, which is responsible for specific mRNA codon recognition, and the 3' end, to which the tRNAs corresponding amino acid is attached (by aminoacyl-tRNA synthetases). tRNAs cope with the degeneracy of the genetic code in two manners: having more than one tRNA (with a specific anti-codon) for a particular amino acid; and 'wobble' base-pairing, i.e. permitting non-standard base-pairing at the 3rd anti-codon position.
Source: Rfam by way of RNAcentral